This 167-nucleotide ribosomal RNA is filed under the name uncultured rumen bacterium. Its description in RNAcentral is "partial 16S ribosomal RNA". It matches the Rfam family "Bacterial small subunit ribosomal RNA", at positions 340 to 524 of the family's 1533-position model. The record is from RNAcentral.
UACGGGAGGCAGCAGUGGGGAAUAUUGCACAAUGGGCGCAAGCCUGAUGCAGCGACGCCGCGUGAGCGAAGAAGUAUUUCGGUAUGUAAAGCUCUAUCAGCAGGGAAGAUAAUGACGGUACCUGACUAAGAAGCACCGGCUAAAUACGUGCCAGCAGCCGCGGUAAU